Long non-coding RNA from Passer domesticus (house sparrow), 489 nucleotides. RefSeq lists it as uncharacterized. Lineage: Eukaryota; Metazoa; Chordata; Aves; Passeriformes; Passeridae. The record is from RefSeq and is a predicted model, not a curated record. The transcript has 2 exons.
UCCAAACCAGAAAUAACAACACACAGAACCAACUUUCAUUGUUUUACCUAAUAACCUUUUGGGUUCAGCAAAAUAUUACCUCAUCUCUGACAACAGGGUAGAGGACUCUGAUGUCACCAACCUCUGGAUGAUGACAUCAGGCAUUGCUGGAUUGUGACCUCACCUUCUCUCCCUGCUUAUCUUGGGGUUCCAAGGAGUUUCAAUGCCUUUUGUGCUGUCACAGGGGUUGGAGGCUGGUGUCAGAGAGCAGUGGGCUGUGACAUCACAGAGGGAUGCAUUGUGACAUUGUGCCCCUCAAUUCCAAGGAAUACUUUUGAAAACUACUUCCCAAAGUGAAUCUUUCUCCAAGCAGAUGGACUGGCAAAACCCAUAAUCUGUGAGCAGAAGACAGGAAUAUUUUUGCCUGUUGGAAAAAUGCCAUAGCAAUGUGCUCUUGACUAGGCGCACUCUUGUCCUUACCAUAAAGAAAAGACACUGAACAAAAUGAAA